Molecule: ribosomal RNA, 440 nt
Filed under: uncultured bacterium
Lineage: Bacteria
Description: partial 16S ribosomal RNA
Rfam family: Bacterial small subunit ribosomal RNA
Source: RNAcentral
CCUACGGGUGGCAGCAGUGGGGGAUAUUGCACAAUGGGGGAAACCCUGAUGCAGCGACGCCGCGUGUGGGAAGACGGUCCUCUGGAUUGUAAACCACUGUCGCCAGGGACGAAGAUGACGGUACCUGGGGAGGAAGCUCCGGCUAACUACGUGCCAGCAGCCGCGGUAAUACGUAGGGAGCGAGCGUUGUCCGGAAUUACUGGGUGUAAGGGGAGCGUAGGCGGGACUGCAAGUUGGGUGUCAAAUCUACCGGCUCAACCGGUAGCCGCACUCAAAACUGCAGUGCUUGAGUGAAGUAGAGGCAGGCGGAAUUCCUAGUGUAGCGGUGAAAUGCGUAGAUAUUAGGAGGAACACCAGUGGCGAAGGCGGCCUGCUGGGCUUUUACUGACGCUGAGGCUCGAAAGUGUGGGGAGCAAACAGGAUUAGAUACCCCAGUAGUC